Molecule: ribosomal RNA, 385 nt
Filed under: uncultured bacterium
Lineage: Bacteria
Description: bacterial SSU rRNA
Rfam family: Bacterial small subunit ribosomal RNA
Source: RNAcentral
AUUGAACGCUGGCGGAAUGCUUUACACAUGCAAGUCGAACGGUAGAGGGGGCAACCCCUCGAGAGUGGCGAACGGGUGAGUAAUAUAUCGGAACGUGCCCAGUCGUGGGGGAUAACGUAGCGAAAGUUACGCUAAUACCGCAUACGCACCGAGGUGGAAAGCAGGGGAUCGCAAGACCUUGCGCUAUACGAGCGGCCGAUGUCAGAUUAGCUAGUUGGUAGGGUAAAGGCCUACCAAGGCGACGAUCUGUAGCUGGUCUGAGAGGGCGACCGGCCACACUGGGACUGAGACACGGCCCAGACUCCUACGGGAGGCAGCAGUGGGGAAUAUUGGGCAAUGGAGGAAACUCUGACCCAGCGACGCCGCGUGCGGGAUGAAGGCCUUC